Pezoporus occidentalis (night parrot) is the source of this 1418-nucleotide long non-coding RNA. RefSeq lists it as uncharacterized. The record is from RefSeq and is a predicted model, not a curated record. NCBI's taxonomy places the organism in Eukaryota, Metazoa, Chordata, Aves, Psittaciformes, Psittacidae. The transcript has 3 exons.
AAACCACUGGAGUGAGGAACUGUGCAAACCUGGAUACAAGAGAACUGCUCAACAGCAGAAUGAUGAUUGCUUGACCUCGUUUGUAUCCACCUUGAAUCAAAUCCUCCCUUUCCAUAUGUAAGGACUUCUAGAUCUGGCCCCCACAUGCCAAAACAUCAUUCCAUUAGCUAUCCAUUUUCUUUCCCUACUUAUGAAUACUGUAUGUAUUUUUAAUCAUUUCUUAGGAUGACCAACACACUGUUUCCUUAUCUGUUGUUUUCCAGCUCCUUUCUCUUGUCAUUCAGAGACAUUCCUUUGACUAAUACUCAUAACUUUCUGCGGUGAUUCUUCUGCAAGGAUGAUCUUUCUUUGUGAUACAGUCAUCUGUGACCCACAGUUUGGAAGUUCUGCUGCCUCUUGAGAACCUUUUCAGUGUCAAGGUGAUCCUUCCUUGAACUUGCAAGUCUGUUCCCUGGGCAAACAGAUUCUCCAAAGGCAAAUACACCUACAUCAGGGUACUAGAAGCCUUCUUUACAAAUGGGUAAUAUGGAACUGACAGUGGUAUGGCCCUGGGGAGCUGGAUGAAGUUUGACUCUUGUCUCUGAGGCACAGAGGCUGUGCAGCCAAAGUGGAGAAAACAGGAAGGAGUCACUACUUGCACAGCCUAUUUGCUGCAGCACUUCUUGUCCCAGCCACAGGCCAUCCCAGCUCUUCUUAGUAAAGCACCAGAGCAGAACUGCUGUAUGGCUGGGUCAGGAGGAGUUCAUGUGUCUUGGAACAGGAAUGGAUGAAGGUGGGUCACAGUGCAGUACGAGAGUCUAUGCACCAAGCCCAGAAGGGUCACUGUGCUCCCUAUAUUAGCUUACUCUUCAAUUUCACUACAAAAUAGUGUUCCCCAUUUAAAACUUUUAAUAAAUCAGAUUUGUGAAAAGAAAGGGACAAAGAUGUGCCCCCUCCACUGAGUCCAUUGACCUUUUUUUCCCAGGGGUUUAAUAGGACCCUGGAGCCUGGUAGAACUGUGACACUUCUUUGUGUUCACCAUGAAAGAUUCACGUGGUAUUGCUUAUCUGCACAGGGAACUUCAUACUGUUAAAUAUCUGAACACAGGUUUGAACACAGAAUUCCCUGGCUGCAUGCCCAAAUUCCUCCACUGUCAGCUGGAAUUAUAUGAGUUUAAAUCACUUUUCCGAGUUCUCUGCUAACAAGGAUUAGAAAACAGGCAUGCAUAAGAAUACAUUUAGAUGCAAUUCUUAGUUUGCAUCAUUUAUCUUAUCAGUAUAAUGCAAGCCACAUAGGAUAUUUCCAGGAGGGGAGGAAGCUCUCAAUUUGAAGUGUAAAGGUAUAAUCCUGGGUACUGCAGUGACACACUAUAUCUUGGCAGGACAAAACCAUGGUCUGGGACUGGGGAUGGAAAUAUCACAUUUACCUGCUAAACUCUA